Non-coding RNA from Aegilops tauschii subsp. strangulata, 1010 nucleotides. The record is from RefSeq and is a predicted model, not a curated record. NCBI's taxonomy places the organism in Eukaryota, Viridiplantae, Streptophyta, Magnoliopsida, Poales, Poaceae.
GUGUCUCUUUGUGCCUCCUUCCAAUGACGGCGAUGAACAUCUUUUCAAUUUUCAAGAAUGAUGAUGUGCCGCGGGGAUGGACACUGAAGAUUGUUUGUAGUUUUUCCACUUGAUGUUUGUUCGGAUACCCAGCGAGUUCUUAGGAUCCCGCACAGGACGGUUCUUGACAACCUUUUAGCACACCUUUUGCUGUCACCAGCCCAAUACGAUCGUGUUGUUCAUGAGGAUGGCACAAUUCGUGUAACUGUCUCUUUCAACACCUCUACCUUGGAUCUUGGACCAAUCAGCGACAUCUCCGUGCCGGGACUUUAUUGCAUGGACGACGAGACUGCUGAGGAUACUGCUGCCAUAAAGGCUGUUAGAUACCUAGAGGAUAUGACCAACACGGUUGUCAGAGACUUAAACGUUGCUUCGUCCAAACGACAGCAGCACCAUGCCGAACACCUGCACGGGAGUUAAAGGAGUCACGCACCAAUAAGAAGGAGCUUGCUAGAGGUUGGCUUCUUGCUGUCAGAUAUAUGCACUACUUCUCUGUGCACGUUCGAAAUGCAGUUGCCGUGGGAUAUUCUGUUGGAGAUCUUCCAGACCAAAUGGAAGACAUGAGCGGCCGCUUGGAAGGGCAUCUGGAUAAAAGGUCGCGCUAUUAGAAGCCGGUUCUCCUACUGAGUAACUACCGCUAUGCCUAUCGAAAUGAUCUCGACUUCUUGUACAUAUGCUGCACUUUAUUUUGGAUGUGUCAUGUUGUCGUUCCUAUUAUGCUAAGACUUUAGGUACCUAUGCAAAUUUCUGGAUCGUCUUUAAGCCACCCCGUGCUGUCGCACACUCUAUGCUUAUGAUAUUUGGUGUUAAAUCUAUCGUGAAGUGUGCUUUCUAUGUUUGUAUACUGUUUGGUGGCUUCUCAUUUUGUGCACGUGAACAAUAUUUGUUUCCAACUGGUUCUUUGGUGAUUCUUCCUGUUAUAUAUGCAUCUCCCUUAAUUUUUUUUGAUAUGGCUUCAUUUCAUUCUGUUU